Molecule: non-coding RNA, 2013 nt
Organism: Drosophila virilis
Lineage: Eukaryota; Metazoa; Arthropoda; Insecta; Diptera; Drosophilidae
Source: RefSeq, a predicted model, not a curated record
ACAGAUUACAUAAAACUUUUUUAUAUGUUUUCAUGCACAGCUCUACACAAUAAUGUGUUAGCAUUCGGUCACAUGUAUAUAAGCACAAACAUAUAGAUUCAUGCAUAUGUACAUAGAUAUAGAUAUAUACAUAGAUAUAUACAUAAACAAGCAACUCACAUGUGGGGUACCUCUAUAGUAGCUAAUUGGCAAGCAAAUGUUUUGGUUACCAAAUUUCAUAGCAAGUUGUGGUAUAAAAUUUGAUACGAUGUCACUUGAGUGUUUCGCCGCAAUUCUAUACGUCAAUGUAGAUCACAAAAUUGUGACUGUAAACAAAAAUGGGCCUUUCACUUCUUUGUCGCAUACAAAGCAGACGCAAAGUUAUCACUUCGUGUACAAACGAAUUUCGUGUAUCGCUCACCAGCUUUAAACCAAUACUGAUUAAGCUCGAGGCCAAGCAUGCGGAUUUCAGUCACAUUUUCGGCUCUUUGAGUUGCCUAACUGGUUUGGAGAAAUUUUUAACGACUGAAGAGCGUUGGUUGACUGAAUAUGCUCAAAGAAACGGGUUUAUGUUUUAUGUUGUCUUGAUCUUCACCUAUGCAAGUUGUAAGGCGCAUUGUGCGGAGUAUGUUGAGAGUGGUCAUGGUUCAGAUCCCAAGGAAUCAUAACUCUAUGUUUAUACCCUGUUUUUCCGUUUCCAGAAGUGGUAAGCUUAAGUAACACUUUACAUUCGUUUCUGACACAUUUGGCAGUAAGUUUCGCUUAAAAUGACAUAGCUAGUGCGGCGUGUCCACUAAAUCUUAUGUAAUUCAAAUGCACAGCACAUAAUACCAGAAGUGCCAGAAACUUGUGUAAUAACGGUAUUUUCGAAUGAACUGGCUCAUUUGGUUCUUAAAACUUUUGGCAUUACUUUUACAUUUAUAGCGAGAAAGACAAGAUUGGACAUGCCGAAGCUAUAAUACCCUUGUAAAUAUAUGAGUUUACUGAAGCUCGUAAAUGCUACGAUUGCCAUUCAAGAAAAUCUAAAAAUCUAAGAGCCUAUGCCUAAGAAGAAGGGUGUUAGCAGAGAAAAAAGUUUUCUUAAGUAAAAAUUAAAUAAAGUUAAGAAAUUUGUACUAGAUUAAAUAGUUAGGAUAAAGAGACAGUAAUGGGAAAUUACCGUACAGGUGGGGAAAAAUUUACAGCCUGUCCGGCAAGCUAUGCCUCUCUUGGUCAGUGAGUUCCCGAAAAUAAUUGUGCAUAGCGUAAUCUUUUGUGCACGUAGGUAGAGGCCAUAAUUCCUGGUAGGUCUAGAAGGAACAGGGAAUUGAAGACGCCCUAACAGAAAAGAGAAAUCUACAUUGCCAACAAUCAACUUAACAACUUAGACAACACCGAGGAUUGGCUCACCGGUACAGUUAAACCAAUAUUUAAAGAAUAAAAAAAAGCCAUGAUACAUAACUAAUGGAUCCAUGAUCAUCAAUGAAUGCCCAGUGAGAUUCAGCACUAACGAGCGAGAUAACAACCAACGGCACACAUCGCGUCAUCUUUUUAGCACAGGGUCUUCAUCGUCGAUAGAUAGCCGAGGACGGUAAUAAUUCUAAGACGGGAGUAGUUAGCAAGAAAUACUCGCCUGAAACUCAAAUACUUCAGUUCAGUUGUCGACCCAAAGCGACAGCGAGUACAUUGAAUCUUUUUAGCGACAUUUAUCUCCUUCAAAAAUUCCAGAUUGAAGUCAGAAAGUAAAUUGUGGUCAUUAUUAGUGUUCAGACCCUUCAGCUGGUAAGGCACAUGAAUGAAAGUUUUGCCCAACCUCCUCUGCAGAUCGCUCCACGAAGAAUUAUCGUUGUGAUUCGAGCGACAAAACUUUUGUAAACGGAUAUUAGAUGCGGUUCUUUGAUGCCCGAUGUCUUGCAAAUGGGAAUGAUGGGACUUAUCUCCGAAGGCCGAGUUGGUUAUUAGACUGUUGCUAUUGCCUGAAGUCUUGUACAAAUGUAUUUACUCUUAGCCGAAAUUGUUAAAGUAGUUGUGUUCUUGUUCUUUUUUAGUUCUACA